GUACGGGAGGCAGCAGUGGGGAAUUUUGGACAAUGGGCGCAAGCCUGAUCCAGCCAUUCCGCGUGAGUGAAGAAGGCCUUCGGGUUGUAAAGCUCUUUCGCAAGGGAAGAAACGUGACGAGCGAAUAACUCGUCAUAAUGACGGUACCUUGAUAAGAAGCACCGGCUAACUACGUGCCAGCAGCCGCGGUAAUACGUAGGGUGCGAGCGUUAAUCGGAAUUACUGGGCGUAAAGCGUGCGCAGGCGGUUUUGUAAGUCAGAUGUGAAAUCCCCGAGCUCAACUUGGGAACUGCGUUUGAAACUACAAGGCUAGAAUAGGUCAGAGGGGGGUAGAAUUCCACGUGUAGCAGUGAAAUGCGUAGAGAUGUGGAGGAAUAUCAAUGGCGAAGGCAGCCCCCUGGGAUCAUAUUGACGCUCAUGCACGAAAGCGUGGGGAGCAAACAGGAUUAGAUACCCGUGUAGUCC
This 465-nucleotide ribosomal RNA is filed under the name uncultured bacterium. RNAcentral's name for it is "bacterial SSU rRNA". It matches the Rfam family "Bacterial small subunit ribosomal RNA", at positions 339 to 796 of the family's 1533-position model. The record is from RNAcentral.